CAAUAGCGUAUAUUAAAGUUGUUGCGGUUAAAAAAGCUCGUAGUUGGAUUUCUGCUGAGGACGACCGGUCCGCCCUCCGGGUGAGCAUCUGGUUCGGCCUUGGCAUCUUCUUGGUGAACGUAUCUGCACUUGACUGUGUGGUGCGGUACCCAGGACUUUUACUUUGAGGAAAUUAGAGUGUUUCAAGCAGGCAUACGCCUUGAAUACAUUAGCAUGGAAUAAUGGAAUAGGACUACGGUCUCUUUGUUGGUUUGAGGGACUGCAGUAAUGAUUAAUAGGGAUAGUCGGGGGCGUCAGUAUUCAGCUGUCAGAGGUGAAAUUCUUGGAUUUGCUGAAGACUAACUACUGCGAAAGCAUUCGCCAAGGAUGUUUUUCAUUAAUCAGGGAACGAAAGUUAGGGGAUCGAAGACGAUUAGAUACCA
RNAcentral lists this ribosomal RNA (422 nucleotides) under uncultured eukaryote. Its description in RNAcentral is "bacterial SSU rRNA". It matches the Rfam family "Eukaryotic small subunit ribosomal RNA", at positions 592 to 1017 of the family's 1831-position model. The record is from RNAcentral.